CCUACGGGUGGCAGCAGUGAGGAAUAUUGGUCAAUGGGCGAGACCCUGAACCAGCCAAGUCGCGUGAAGGAUGAAGGCACUACGGUUUGUAAAAUUCUUUUGUAAGGGAGCAAUUGGGUCCACGCGUGGGCUUAGCGAGCGUACCUGAAGAAAAAGACUCGGCUAACUCGGUGCCAGCGGCCGCGGUAUUACGGGGGUUGCGGGCGUUAUCCGGAUUUAUUGGGUUAUAUGGCUGCGUAGGCGGAAUAUCAGGUCAGCGGUAAAAACUCGGGGCGCACCCCCGGCGUGCCGUUGAAACUGAUGUUCUUGAGUGGGCGAGAGGUAUGCGGAAUUCGUGGUGUAGCGGUGAAAUGCAUAGAUAUCACGCAGAACUCCGAUGGCGAAGGCAGCAUACCGGCGCCCAACUGACGCUGAAGCUCGAAAGCGUGGGUAUCGAACAGGAUUAGAUACCCCAGUAGUC
Molecule: ribosomal RNA, 460 nt
Filed under: uncultured bacterium
Lineage: Bacteria
Description: partial 16S ribosomal RNA
Rfam family: Bacterial small subunit ribosomal RNA
Source: RNAcentral